Molecule: ribosomal RNA, 465 nt
Filed under: uncultured Klebsiella sp.
Lineage: Bacteria; Pseudomonadati; Pseudomonadota; Gammaproteobacteria; Enterobacterales; Enterobacteriaceae
Description: bacterial SSU rRNA
Rfam family: Bacterial small subunit ribosomal RNA
Source: RNAcentral
CCUACGGGUGGCAGCAGUGGGGAAUAUUGCACAAUGGGCGCAAGCCUGAUGCAGCCAUGCCGCGUGUGUGAAGAAGGCCUUCGGGUUGUAAAGCACUUUCAGCGGGGAGGAGGGCGUUAAGGUUAAUAACCUUGUCGAUUGACGUUACCCGCAGAAGAAGCACCGGCUAACUCCGUGCCAGCAGCCGCGGUAAUACGGAGGGUGCAAGCGUUAAUCGGAAUUACUGGGCGUAAAGCGCACGCAGGCGGUCUGUCAAGUCGGAUGUGAAAUCCCCGGGCUCAACCUGGGAACUGCAUUCGAAACUGGCAGGCUAGAGUCUUGUAGAGGGGGGUAGAAUUCCAGGUGUAGCGGUGAAAUGCGUAGAGAUCUGGAGGAAUACCGGUGGCGAAGGCGGCCCCCUGGACAAAGACUGACGCUCAGGUGGGAAAGCGUGGGGAGCAAACAGGAUUAGAUACCCGGGUAGUC